UCGCUACUACCGAUUGAAUGGCUUAGUGAGCUCCAUGGACUGUCACGCGGUGGGGGGUUUCCCCCAUUGCGAGACGGGAAGUGGAUCAAACUUGAUCAUUUAGAGGAAGUAA
This 112-nucleotide ribosomal RNA is filed under the name uncultured eukaryote. RNAcentral describes it as "partial small subunit ribosomal RNA". It matches the Rfam family "Eukaryotic small subunit ribosomal RNA", at positions 1676 to 1785 of the family's 1831-position model. The record is from RNAcentral.